UUUGGUGACUUCAAUGAGAUUUUAGCAAGCGAUGAGAAGGUAGGGGGAGCAGGCCGGCCUCAACACUACCUUGAUGAGUUUAGGGAGGCUUUGCACCAGUGUAGCUUGAGAGACAUUGGGUAUGAAGGAGAUACAUUCACCUGGAGGAACCAUGAUAUUUGCGAGCGUCUAGAUAGGGCAACAUCAAAUGAGGAGUGGUGUGAGAUGUUCCCAAAUUUCAUAGUAAUCAAUGGUGAACCGAGACAUUCAGACCAUCUACCAAUAAUUGUGCAGCUGGAAGGGGUGGAUAAAAAUGGAAGAAUGGGGACAAUAACUUCAGAUUUGAGGCACGGUGGUUGCAGGAGGAGGGGUGUGAAGAUGUGA
Molecule: ribosomal RNA, 363 nt
Filed under: Triticum aestivum (bread wheat)
Lineage: Eukaryota; Viridiplantae; Streptophyta; Magnoliopsida; Poales; Poaceae
Description: partial small subunit ribosomal RNA
Source: RNAcentral